This 403-nucleotide ribosomal RNA is filed under the name bacterium. Its description in RNAcentral is "partial 16S ribosomal RNA". It matches the Rfam family "Bacterial small subunit ribosomal RNA", at positions 355 to 776 of the family's 1533-position model. The record is from RNAcentral.
UGGGGAAUCUUGCACAAUGGGGGAAACCCUGAUGCAGCGACGCCGCGUGAGCGAUGAAGGUUUUCGAAUCGUAAAGCUCUGUCCUAUGGGAAGAUAAUGACGGUACCAUAGGAGGAAGCCCCGGCUAACUACGUGCCAGCAGCCGCGGUAAUACGUAGGGGGCGAGCGUUGUCCGGAAUUACUGGGCGUAAAGGGUUCGCAGGCGGCAUGACAAGUCCGAUGUAAAAGGCGAAAGCUCAACUUUCGUAAGCAUCGGAAACUGUCAAGCUUGAGUGCAGGAGAGGCAAGUGGAAUUCCUAGUGUAGCGGUGGAAUGCGUAGAUAUUAGGAGGAAUACCGGUGGCGAAGGCGACUUGCUGGACUUCAACUGACGCUGAGGAACGAAAGCGUGGGUAGCAAACAGG